RNAcentral lists this ribosomal RNA (428 nucleotides) under uncultured bacterium. RNAcentral describes it as "bacterial SSU rRNA". It matches the Rfam family "Bacterial small subunit ribosomal RNA", at positions 354 to 796 of the family's 1533-position model. The record is from RNAcentral.
GUGGGGAAUAUUGGACAAUGGACCAAAAGUCUGAUCCAGCAAUUCUGUGUGCACGAUGAAGGUCUUCGGAUUGUAAAGUGCUUUCAGGUGGGAAGAAGAAAGUGACGGUACCACCAGAAGAAGCGACGGCUAAAUACGUGCCAGCAGCCGCGGUAAUACGUAUGUCGCAAGCGUUAUCCGGAAUUAUUGGGCGUAAAGCGAGUCUAGGCGGCUUGUUAAGUCAGAUGUGAAAAUGCGGGGCUCAACUCCGUAUUGCGUUUGAAACUGGCAGGCUAGAGUACUGGAGAGGUGGGCGGAACUACAAGUGUAGAGGUGAAAUUCGUAGAUAUUUGUAGGAAUGCCGAUAGUGAAGACAGCUCACUGGACAGAUACUGACGAUAAAGCUCGAAAGCGUGGGGAGCGAACAGGAUUAGAAACCCUAGUAGUCC